This 466-nucleotide ribosomal RNA is filed under the name uncultured bacterium. Its description in RNAcentral is "bacterial SSU rRNA". It matches the Rfam family "Bacterial small subunit ribosomal RNA", at positions 338 to 795 of the family's 1533-position model. The record is from RNAcentral.
CCUANGGGGGGCAGCAGUCCGGAAUAUUGGGCAAUGGGGGAAACCCUGACCCAGCCACGCUGUGUGGGUGAUGAAGGCCUUCGGGUCGUAAAGCCCUGUCAGAGAGGAAGAAACUGUUGACGGUUAAUACCCGUCGGCUUUGACGUUACUCUCAAAGGAAGCACCGGCUAACUACGUGCCAGCAGCCGCGGUAAUACGUAGGGUGCAAGCGUUGUUCGGAAUUACUGGGCGUAAAGCGCGUGUAGGUGGCUAGUUAAGUCUGAUGUGAAAGCCCUCGGCUCAACCGAGGAAGUGCAUUGGAUACUGGUUAGCUUGAGUACGGGAGAGGGAGGUGGAAUUCUCAGUGUAGCGGUGAAAUGCGCAGAUAUUGAGAGGAACACCGGUGGCGAAGGCGGCCUCCUGGACCGAUACUGACACUGAAACGCGAAAGCGUGGGGAGCGAACAGGAUUAGAUACCCCANUANUC